CUCCUGCCCGGUGCUGGAAGGUUAAGGGGACCUGUUAGCUUCGGCGAAGCGGAGCACUUAAGCCCCAGUAAACGGCGGUGGUAACUAUAACCAUCCUAAGGUAGCGAAAUUCCUUGUCGGGUAAGUUCCGACCUGCACGAAUGGAGUAACGACUUCCCCGCUGUCUCAACCAUGAACUCGGCGAAAUUGCAUUACGAGUAAAGAUGCUCGUUACGCGCAGAAGGACGGAAAGACCCCGUGACCUUUACUAUAGUUUGGUAUUGGUGUUCGGUGUGGCUUGUGUAGGAUAGGUGGGAGACUGUGAAGCGGGCACGCCAGUGUUCGUGGAGUCAUCGUUGA
Molecule: ribosomal RNA, 339 nt
Filed under: Acinetobacter baumannii
Lineage: Bacteria; Pseudomonadati; Pseudomonadota; Gammaproteobacteria; Moraxellales; Moraxellaceae
Description: partial 23S ribosomal RNA
Rfam family: Bacterial large subunit ribosomal RNA
Source: RNAcentral